This 73-nucleotide transfer RNA is filed under the name Cordylochernes scorpioides. RNAcentral describes it as "tRNA-Thr". It matches the Rfam family "tRNA". Rfam says of the family: Transfer RNA (tRNA) molecules are approximately 80 nucleotides in length. Lineage: Eukaryota; Metazoa; Arthropoda; Arachnida; Pseudoscorpiones; Chernetidae. The record is from RNAcentral.
UCCAGGGUAGCCUAGUGGACAUGGCAUCUGCCCGGUAAGCGGAACGUUGUGGGUUCGAUUCCCGCCCCCGGAC